This 253-nucleotide ribosomal RNA is filed under the name uncultured bacterium. RNAcentral's name for it is "partial 16S ribosomal RNA". It matches the Rfam family "Bacterial small subunit ribosomal RNA", at positions 524 to 776 of the family's 1533-position model. The record is from RNAcentral.
UACGUAGGGUGCGAGCGUUGUCCGGAAUUACUGGGUGUAAAGGGCGUGUAGGCGGGUAAGCAAGUCAGGUGUGAAAUACCGCAGCUCAACUGAGGUAUUGCAUCUGAAACUGCUAAUCUUGAGUACUGGAGAGGGAAGCGGAAUUCCUAGUGUAGCGGUGAAAUGCGUAGAGAUUAGGAGGAACACCAGUGGCGAAGGCGGCUUCCUGGCCAGAGACUGACGCUGAGGCGCGAAAGCGUGGGGAGCAAACAGG